This 206-nucleotide unclassified non-coding RNA is filed under the name Leptographium gracile. RNAcentral describes it as "internal trancribed spacer 2". Lineage: Eukaryota; Fungi; Ascomycota; Sordariomycetes; Ophiostomatales; Ophiostomataceae. The record is from RNAcentral.
CCUCCCUCACGCAGCGCGCCUGCGUGGUGUUGGGGCGUUCUGCGGCCAGGCCUGCGCCUAGCAGGCCUCCGCAGCCCCCGAAAGCCAGUGGCGGGCCGGCAGCGGGCUCCGAGCGCAGUAAGCAGCAGUGCCCUCGCUCUGGACGCCUCCGCCUGCGCCCUGCCCCAAAUGACCGGCAGACGCAAGUCUGCCCCUCCUUCUCAAGG